UACGGGAGGCAGCAGUGGGGAAUAUUGCACAAUGGGCGCAAGCCUGAUGCAGCCAUGCCGCGUGUAUGAAGAAGGCCUUCGGGUUGUAAAGUACUUUCAGUCGUGAGGAAGGUGUUAAGGUUAAUAACCUUAGCAAUUGACGUUAGCGACAGAAGAAGCACCGGCUAACUCCGUGCCAGCAGCCGCGGUAAUACGGAGGGUGCGAGCGUUAAUCGGAAUUACUGGGCGUAAAGGGCACGCAGGCGGUUAAUUAAGUUGGAUGUGAAAUCCCCGGGCUUAACCUGGGAAUGGCAUUCAAGACUGGUUAGCUAGAGUCUUGUAGAGGGGGUAGAAUUCCAUGUGCAGCGGUGAAAUGCGUAGAGAUGUGGAGGAAUACCGGUGGCGAAGGCGGCCCCUGGGACAAAGCCGACGCUCAUGUGCGAAAGCGUGGGGAGCAAACAGGGAUUAGAUACC
RNAcentral lists this ribosomal RNA (453 nucleotides) under uncultured bacterium. Its description in RNAcentral is "bacterial SSU rRNA". It matches the Rfam family "Bacterial small subunit ribosomal RNA", at positions 340 to 786 of the family's 1533-position model. The record is from RNAcentral.